Molecule: long non-coding RNA, 416 nt
Organism: Cebus imitator (Panamanian white-faced capuchin)
Lineage: Eukaryota; Metazoa; Chordata; Mammalia; Primates; Cebidae
Exons: 3
Source: RefSeq, a predicted model, not a curated record
UUUAGAUGUUACACAUGGAAGAAUCUUAGGUUCAUAGUUUUAGGACUCACAUGUGAAAAGGUUUUAGUUUACCGUUUCAGGAAUUACAUAUGAAAGGGUUCCGGUUUACAGUUUUAGGACUCACAUGUGAAAAGGUUUCUGGUUUGAUCUUGUUUUCAAUAAAAAUAGUGCCUUCUGAAGGGUUUCCCCAAGGCCUAGCCUGUUGUUUUCAGGAAGGAGAUUCAGGAGGCGCCAGCUGGCCUGCUCUCUCUUCUAUUGAGAUGCGCAGUGGAUGACAGAGGGGAAGGGAAUCCCAAAUGCCUGGGUCUCCCUCCUCACCCCCCCCUUUGAGACCCUCACCAUUUUAUAAUAUUAGUGAGAGGUCUCACUUUCAUUCUCACUUUCCAGAUUUUCUGAAGAAACCAACUGAUAAUGUU